UACGUAGGUGGCAAGCGUUGUCCGGAUUUACUGGGCGUAAAGAGCGCGCAGGCGGUCGUUCAAGUCGCGUGUGAAAGCCCCCCGGCUCAACUGGGGAGGGUCACGCGAUACUGAUCGACUCGAAGGCAGGAGAGGGUAGUGGAAUUCCCGGUGUAGUGGUGAAAUUCGUAGAUAUUCGGAAGAACACCAGUGGCGAAGGCGGCUCACUGGACCAGUAUUGACGCUGAGGUGCGAAAGCGUGGGGAGCAAACAGG
RNAcentral lists this ribosomal RNA (254 nucleotides) under uncultured bacterium. RNAcentral's name for it is "partial 16S ribosomal RNA". It matches the Rfam family "Bacterial small subunit ribosomal RNA", at positions 524 to 776 of the family's 1533-position model. The record is from RNAcentral.